AGUGAACGCUGGCGGUAGGCUUAACACAUGCAAGUCGAACGGCAGCACAGUGAUAGCUUGCUGUGACCGGGUGGCGGUGGGGUACGGGAGAGGAAAACAACCGAAUCUACUUUUUGGUGGGGGUUAAGGUAGGGGGACCUACUCUAAUACCGCAGACCCUCUUGGGGGGAAAGGAUUGGAUAUUUUGACCUGGUGCGAAUGAACGAGCGGCUGUCGGGUUAGUUAGUGGGCGGGUGAAAUGCCCACCCGGGCGACGAUCGGUAGCUGGUCUGGGAGGAUGGUCAGCCACACUGGAACUGAGCCACGGUCCAUGCUCCUACGGGACGCCGCAGUGGGGAAUGUUGGACAAUGGGCGCAAGCCUGAUCCAGCCAUCCCGCGUGGGUGAAGAAGGCCUUCCGGUUGUAAAGCCCUUUUGUUGGGAGAGAAAAGCAGCAGGUUAAUACCCCGCUGUUCUGACGGUACCCAAAGAAUAAGCACCGGCUAACUUCGUG
RNAcentral lists this ribosomal RNA (492 nucleotides) under uncultured bacterium. RNAcentral's name for it is "partial 16S ribosomal RNA". It matches the Rfam family "Bacterial small subunit ribosomal RNA", at positions 29 to 507 of the family's 1533-position model. The record is from RNAcentral.